UUUUUUAAAUGGAGAGUAACAUUUUGUUGGUCUUUUAAUCAUAAUAUAAUCAAUGUUGCUUUAGAAAAUUGCAUUUCCUCAUCUAGUAACUCAGGGUUUGUCUUGCUCUUAAAGAUGGAUUCAGUUAUAAUCUGGUACUUGAACUUUCCAUUUGGAUACAUGAGAACCUUUGCAGAAAAAGUUGUUUUGAGGAGAGAAUCCAAAACUACAGUGCCCCCAUUUGAAAAAAUAAGGAUAAAAUGGCAAGUUUCUGCUAUUGAAACCACAAAAUACAUGAUUAAAUGCACAGAAGAGUAUGUUUUCUGAUAAAUCUGAUGCCUAUUAGCAAAUUCAUCCCCAUUAUCAGUUACCUAAAUUUCCUAAUAGUGUUCUGUAGUCUUACAGCUUUAACAAAUAGUUUUCUAUCAUACAAUUAAGUGCCAGAACUCAGUUUUGUCUGAGUCCAAAUCUGUAAUCUCAGUCACCAACCUAGUUGCCUAUUUAUCUUUGCAUUUCUACUACAGCUAACAUAUUAUGCCUUGUGCAUAAUACAUGUUCAGUACAUGUUUGUAGUCUUUAGAGUAUAUCAAGCCAUAAAAUGCUACCAUUGAUCUCUUUAGCAGUGCUUCAACCCAUAGUUUAAAUACUAUUGCCCCAAACAUUGGACUUUCAAUGAAAUAUUUGCAAAUUCAUAUUUUGGAUUAUACUUUUAAUAGGUGCAUGCCAAUAAUAAUUUUGAUCAAUUGAAGAGUGAGGCAACAUCUAUCAGAGACCCAUUACUGACAACCCACAGAUGAAUUGGAAGCUAUCAAAUAGUUAAGUCUGCCCAUAAUUUUUUCCACCUAGGGCUCCCCUUGGUUUCCUUUACAAAUGAGAAAAUAAAAUUUAUUUUCAUUAUAAAGAAUGUAUUUUUAAAGCCAAACUAUUUUACAUGCUCUGUACAAACUGAAAUACUUAUUUUUACUUGAGAUGCUUUCCUUCUGACAUGUUCUCACUAUGACAUUUUUGGAUAAGAAAGAUUCCUUUGAUAGCAGGAUUUACCAAAUUUUUCAUAUGCAAUUUAAAGUCUGUAAGAGAAAUUGAUAAUCUGUCCUUAAAUGAAGAAAGAAGAAGAGUGGAGGGAGGUGCAGCUGGAGAGAGAGACACAUAGUGAGCUCAUGGUGAAGAGCUUCAGUUUUAAUUUAAAUGUAAUGGGAAACUGUCAGUUUUCAAGGAAUUUUAUUGAGGUAUAGUUUACAUAUAAUAAAAUGUAUUUAUUUUAACUGUAUAUUUUGAUGAAUUUGACAAAUGUCUGUAUCCAAGUAGCCACUCCCACAUUGAGAUAUAGAACAUUUCCAUCACCAAAAAGUUCACUGUGGUCUAUACCAAUUGGUUCCUUCCCUACCUGGCCCCAGACAACUGUGGAUCUACUUUGAGGCACUCUAGAUAGAUUUUUCAUGACCAUAGUUUGAUAUAAAUGAGAUAAUCCAAUACGUACACAAUUUUGUUAGGCUAUUUUUGUUCUGCAUCAUGCUUUUAAGAAUCGCCCAUAUUGUGGCAUGUUCAUUCCUUUUUAUUGUUUAGUACUGUUUCAGUGUGUCACUGAACUGUGAUUUAUUUUUCCACCUAGAGUUCCCCUUGGAAUAUCAUAAAUGGCAUUUUUGUGGCAGACGUUUGCUUUAUCUCCAAUGUUUGGCUAUUCUGAUUAAAACCGCUAAGAACACUCACAUUCAAGUCUUUGUGUGAACAUAUGUUUUCAUUUCUCUUAAAUAAAUAAUUAGUAAUGUAAUUAGUAUGAUAUGAUAACUGUAUGCUUAAUUUUUAAGAACCUGCUUUUUUUUCCUGAACUGGUUAUACCAUUUUGCAUUCCCUCCUGCUUCCUGAGAGGAUUUCAAUAUUCCAUGUCCUUAUCCAUUUUGAACUAGUAAUCUUUUAAAUACAGUGAAUAAUGGUACCUCAUUGUGGUUUUAAUUUGCACCUCUUUGAUGUCUAAAAUGGAACAUAUUAUAGUGUGUUCACUGGCUAUUGGUGUAUUAUCUUUCGUAAGGUGUCUGUUUAAAUCUUUUGCCCAUUUUUAGUUGGGUUGUGUCUCUUUGUAUUAUUGAGUUUUAAGGGUUCUUUAUAUAUCCCAGAUACAAGCCCUUUGUCAGAUGUAUUUUGUGAAUAUUUUUCCACAUUUUUUAUUGGUGCUUUAUAGUUGUACAUAAUGGUGAGAUUUCUUGUUACAUAUUCAUAUAUGCACACAAUAUAACAGUAUAAUUUAACCAAUAUCACUCCCCCUCUAUGAAUAUUUUCUUUAACUUAUAAGAGCAAAUCAUUUGUGUGCUUCACUGUUAUUAGUGCAUAGGGAAAGAAUAAUCUUAGAGAUGUAAGUCAAUUUAGAUUUGUUCAAAAUGAAGAUAUAAAAUAAAGAAUAAUACAGGCAGCAACUGUGGAAUUUGUGGGCAAGUGACAUUCAGGGAAAAGAUCUCUAGUGGCAGAACAGAAGGAUAUUAGAGGGCUUAGGCCUGUGAGGCAGCUAAUGAAAAGCAGGACCAUGAGACACUUUCAACUUUGGUCAAUAAAUCACACAUUAAAUAAUCAAAAUCAUAAAUCUGUAGUCAUGAAGGUAAAUAAAUAUACUGACUGUAUAAGCGUGGCUAUGUUAGAGGACAAACCACUAGUUGUAUUAUUCUGACCAUUGCUUUGCAGCAAUUGGGCACUGGGAGGCAAAUCUAAAAAUGAGCUGGCCACUUUCUCUAUUCAAAAAGCCUAUGUUCUGACUUAGGAUUUUCUAAUUAGCCAUCUUAGCCCAUGGUGAUUAGAACAGCGAGGGGAGUGUUUCUCGUGUAGUGAUUGUAAAGGCAGCCUGUGCAGACUUCAGCACAAUUCUAUUUCCUGUCAUUUAAAGCAUGCUGAGAAAGGCAGUUAUUUGUACUCUGCAAUUGCUCCUUAAACAUGCCUAAAGGAAAAACCUCUGAAGUCUUCAGUAAAUGCGUUCUGGUGUUUGUUAUGCUAAAGUUUCCCCACUUUCUGAGUGAAUUAAAUAUUUUAUUAUACAAGAAUUGUAACAGCAAUUUUCAGAACAGUUUAGCCACAUCCUUGGAGAAUAAAUCGCAGAAAAUCAUUACAGUGCUCCCAGGUUUUCACUGUUACAUUCCAUAUGUUAUGUGUGGUGUGUAUUAAUAUGUACACUUCUCAUAUUUUGAAAUCUUGAAUUUAUUAUUCCAAACUUGCUAGUAGGAACUUUGCUUGUCUCUGUGUCUCUUUUUAUUUUUCUUACACUCUGCACAAUUAUAUGAUUAGAAGAAGCUGUACUCUCCCUUACCCUGUUAAGGAAAGGAAACAAAAAGCAGAGUCCUCUAUGCCCAAGGUAGUUUCAAAAAGCAUACAACCCAGAUUCCACAGUAAUGGGAGAAAAUAUCAUUGGCUUCCUCAGUAAUGAAGUCCUGAGCUCUGUCCCACUGUGACUCAAUUUCUGGAAGAACUACUAAUUCCUGGGCUGGGGGUGGAGCUCAGUGGUGAGGUCAUAGGUUUGAUCCCCAGCACUGCAAAAGUCAACAAACAAACAAACAAAAAACCUACACUUACCUCAAGCCCCAACAUACAAGCUUGGGCUUCUGAGGAAGGCCUAAAAUUUGUAUACAAGGUUUUUUGUAAGAUGUAGAGCAAUAAUCUUAAGGAAGAUGCUUUCACUUCUAAAGGUUCUAGUUUCGUACUCUUCUUCCAUGAAAUCUUAAAUAAUAGGCUCAUAUUUAUAUAAUAAUUUUAAACUAGCAAAGCAGCUUCCACAGUCCUUCAGUGUCAUGCUGGAGAAUGCUUAGCAAUACACCCUUAAAAAUAAAAAGAGGGAAAAAAAGACUUUAUUUGUAGAGUUUGCCAAAUUCUGUGUAAAUGUUUUGGCUGUAGUUGAUUUCAAGGAGAGGUGACAGUGUCGAGUUGGGGACAGGACAGAACCACUGGUGCUAAGGGGGUGGGUUUGGGGGGUGGUAAUGGUGUCAGAAUGGUUGUGGAGGGGCACUGUGCAAGAGCUUUUCACAUGCCUUCAUUGAACUCCCCCCAAGAAAACUGGACGAGGUAGGUAUUACUAUCUCUUUUGCUGAUGGGGCUCAAAGAAGCUAAAUCACAAGUUAGAAAAUGGAGGAGCCAGAACUGGAAUUCAGUUUACCUGACUGACUUGCGUGGAGUCAGACAACCACCAAGAAGAGCUGCAUCAGACCUCAGAGCCAGGAGUCCUGACAGGGAGGCCUCACUUCUCCCUCAUAUGCUCUCCUAACUUAUUCCCAAUCUAUGAAAUUAGAGAGCUCCGUAUCAUGGUCAAGUCCAGAUACUGUCAGAGCACUUUCAUUUUAUCUGUACUCGUGUAUACAUCAAGUGGAAGUGAGACAGAAAAGUAAGGGCUAUUCUGGGGGAACAAAAGAGAUUUUAGAGAGGGCCCCAGCUCUGCCCUAUUAGCUGUGUGAUUAUGGGAAAUUGACUUAAUCUUUGGGUGUCCUGUUUUUCUCUUAUGUGGAUUGAGGAUGAUUAGUACCUACAGAGUGAAUGCUUGAUAAAUAUUACCCAUUAAUCCUACUGUCCAGCUUUUAUAUGUUUGAUGAAACAAAGAUGCUAUGUUCAGAAAAAUACAUUCAGAAUAUAUUACAAUCAUGUAUUAUACAUUAUUUGUACAUUCAGAAACAUGGAAUGAUUAAAAGACAAUUUAUAAAUGAUUGCUACCUCUUAUAACAACUGUAUGAGUUCUUACAAAUACAUUUCAGGGUUUUAACAAACAGUAGGACUGAUAUUUUUAUUUGAAUAAUAAUUUGAUGCAAAUCUUUCCUUAUCUUUUUAAUAAAAAUCAACUGUAUCAGAUUGCAAAAUGGUAGAGAGAGAAAAUGCAUGAGCAAGAAGUAAUGUCAAUCCAUAAUGAGAAAUAAAGCAUUUAAAAUAUUGUUGAAAACUCCUGUGGAGACCUUCAGGAUCCCAUUUCCCUCUAAACCAUUCCCAGGGUUACUACUGCUUUAAUGUUUAUCAUUUCUACAUCUUUUUACUCUCACUACAUGUACCUAUUGCAUAUCCCCACAUAUUGCAAUAUCCCCACACAAGAUACAGAAGUCUUUUAUGUUUUUAAAUUUUCAGCGGUGAUAUUAUAUAUGGUCUUCUACUACUUGCUUUGUUUUAAUUGCAUGGCAUAGGGGAUUAAUCUAUGUUCAUUUAUUUUAACAGUGAUAACUUUUUUCCUUUUUUUUAGUUCUGGAGAUUGACUGCAGGGCCUUACACAUGCUAGGCAAGCAUUAUACCACUAAGUUACAUCCCCAGCUAUAUAAGGUUUUCUAAAAAAUAAAUUGAUAAACGUUUAAAUUGUUUCCAUUUUUCAUCAUCCCCAAAUUGUAAUAAUUCUUACACAUGCCACCUUCUGAAUAUAUGGAAGAAUUUCCUCUGGAAUUUAUACCUAGUAGUAUAAUUUCUAGGUCACAAUUUCUAGGGCAUCUUCAAUUUUACUAGAGCAAAAGAAUCCUUUUUCACCAAUUGUCUAUUUACCCUCUCAUUACCAAUGUAUGCAAGUUCUCACGGAACCGUAUCCUCAAAAUGCUUUUUAUUGUUUGACUUCCGAAAAACUCCAGAUCUAGUGGCUAUGAAAUUGUCUUGUAGCUUUAAUUUGCGUUCCCCUGAGAAGUUGGAAUUUGCCUGUUUGCUCUGAGAGCCUAUUGCUGCCUUUCACCUCUAUUCUGGAGGGAGCUAAUUCCUGCAAGUAUGUUUCCCAAGAUCCUUUGCUCACUGACUCCCAUUUACUUAGCUAAUAGGAAGCUCUGGUGAGAGACUGGAGGGGAAAACUAGAGUCUCCCUCUCUGUUGGGUUUCAAGUGAGAUCCCUGUCAGGGCUUUAUCUCCUCCAUAGCCCCAGCUACUGAGGUACAUCCCCUGUUCUGGCUCCUAUUCUUGCAAGAUGGCUUUUUCUCCAUUGCUCAUUGGAUAGCCCUAGCCUCUGGAUUCUGAAAACACCAUCUCUCCAUCUCUUUUCUUUCCAGACUAAAGGUUCCCAAAGUUAUAUCUCUUGGUCGCCCUGCCUUUGGGGUUUCUGAAGCAUCUGCAUUAAAUUGAAAGCAGAAUCCUUGUCGAUACAGCUGAUAAAAGUGAGGCCGAUCUGCUUUUCUUUCCCUCCUUUUUCCUUUUGCCAUUUAGACUUUUUGAUAUAAAUUAAU
RNAcentral lists this long non-coding RNA (6118 nucleotides) under Marmota monax (woodchuck). Lineage: Eukaryota; Metazoa; Chordata; Mammalia; Rodentia; Sciuridae. The record is from RNAcentral.